This 73-nucleotide transfer RNA is filed under the name Seculamonas ecuadoriensis. RNAcentral's name for it is "tRNA-Gly". It matches the Rfam family "tRNA". Rfam says of the family: Transfer RNA (tRNA) molecules are approximately 80 nucleotides in length. Their secondary structure includes four short double-helical elements and three loops (D, anti-codon, and T loops). Lineage: Eukaryota; Jakobea; Jakobida; Moramonadidae. The record is from RNAcentral.
GCGGAAGUAGCUUAAUGGUUAAAGCGCCGCCUUGCCAAGGCUGAGAUUGAGGGUUCGAGUCCCUUUUUCCGCU